RNAcentral lists this transfer RNA (75 nucleotides) under Nitzschia sp. (in: diatoms). RNAcentral's name for it is "Nitzschia sp. (in: Bacillariophyta) tRNA-Asn". It matches the Rfam family "tRNA". From Rfam's summary of the family: Transfer RNA (tRNA) molecules are approximately 80 nucleotides in length. Their secondary structure includes four short double-helical elements and three loops (D, anti-codon, and T loops). Lineage: Eukaryota; Bacillariophyta; Bacillariophyceae; Bacillariales; Bacillariaceae. The record is from RNAcentral.
UUCUUUAGUAGCUCAGUCGGUAGAGCAAAUGGCUGUUAACCAUUUGGCCGUUGGUUCGAGUCCAACCUGAAGAGU